AAGUCGUAACAAGGUUUCCGUAGGUGAACCUGCGGAAGGAUCAUUACCAAAUUCAUGAACAAUAAGGUCUUUUGUAAAAGAAAGUAACCUUUAUUGUUUUUUUUAAACCCCAUUGUGAAUUGUUGUAAACGUUUUUUUUUGCAAAGUCUUUUUUUUUUAAUAAUUGUUGAAAGACAUUAUUUAAAAGACUUUGCAUAUUUAUUAAACACAAGUUUUGGUUUCUGUUGGAAUAAAGUUGAAAUUAAUAAAAAAAAACAACUUUUAACGGUGGAUCUCUUGGCUCGU
Molecule: unclassified non-coding RNA, 285 nt
Filed under: fungal sp.
Lineage: Eukaryota; Fungi
Description: partial internal transcribed spacer region
Rfam family: Eukaryotic small subunit ribosomal RNA (bases 1-46)
Source: RNAcentral